UCCACUUGGCUUCAGCAUCUCCAGGAUUCCCGCCAACCUCCAGCCAUGAAGAUCUUCUGCCUCCUCUCUGUUGCCGUCCUCUUCUUGAUGCUGCUGGCUCCAGAUUUCACCGGAGCUCAACGUCCCACCCAGGAUUGCCAGAACAAUGGAGGCAGCUGCAGAAAAACCUGCAACAAAGGCGAGAAAGAGAUUGGGAAGUGUUCGGGAGACAGGCGUUGCUGCAAGCGCAGCUAAGCAGACCCAUCACACAUAAUCUCUGACAAAAGGAAGACCAC
This is a long non-coding RNA of Lacerta agilis (Sand lizard), 275 nucleotides long. RefSeq lists it as uncharacterized. The record is from RefSeq and is a predicted model, not a curated record. Lineage: Eukaryota; Metazoa; Chordata; Lepidosauria; Squamata; Lacertidae. The transcript has 3 exons.